GUAUAGCUCAGCUGGAUAGAGCGUCUGGCUACGGACCAGAAGGUCGGGGGUUCGAAUCCUCUUAC
This 65-nucleotide transfer RNA is filed under the name bovine gut metagenome. It matches the Rfam family "tRNA", at positions 5 to 66 of the family's 71-position model. From Rfam's summary of the family: Transfer RNA (tRNA) molecules are approximately 80 nucleotides in length. The record is from RNAcentral.